Molecule: unclassified non-coding RNA, 160 nt
Filed under: uncultured Inocybe
Lineage: Eukaryota; Fungi; Basidiomycota; Agaricomycetes; Agaricales; Cortinariaceae
Description: sequence contains ITS2
Source: RNAcentral
AUGUCUCAACCACACCGUGAGGUGUGGCUUGGAUUUGUGGGUUACAGGCUUAGUCUGCUUCCUGAAAUGCAUGAGUGGUAACGACCUCUCCAUUAAGAUGUGAUACAUAUCUGCAUCUAGUUGAGGGUUUUGCUGCUAUAAUAAGAGUUGGAUUUGAUAA